UGUAUUUUUAGUAGAGACGGGGUUUCACCGUGUUAGCCAGGAUGGUCUCGAUCUCCUGACCUCGUGAUCCGCCCGCCUCGGCCUCCCAAAGUGAGAAUGUCUUGCUUGUGAUUAAAUACCAUUGAGGGAAGUCCUUCUUAAAAAUUUAUGCAUGCACGUGUGCCUGUGUGCACAUGUGCAGACACAUACACACACACAUAUGCACACAAGCACACCAGUAUAUAGGGUGUUUAUCCAAUGAUGACUAAAAAAUGAGAAUGCUCAGACUGACUGUUUUGGACUGAAGAGACUAUCUGGAAGUCAGAGAUGAGAGGAGAUCCAAAAAUUGUACAACUUCUCUAUGAGAUUAGAAUACUAGAGUCAUCAGUGUGAAGGCAUAGCCUCUAGGGUCUCACUAGCCCAACACCUCUGCAUUAUCAGAGUUAUUCUAUAACUGAAAUGCCAAAGGAGAGCCAAUUCCUCUCCAGUGGAAGAUUCUCCUGCAGGUGAGUAUAGGAAGGGUAACUGUUACCACUCAGACAUCAUUUGAUCACCCAAUGACAUUUCCUCCAAUGGCCAGGCCACCCAACAGUAGGUAUGUCUUUAUUAAAUUGAUAGCGUUCCCCACCUUUUAACUACCCACAUAAUGAGCAAAUAGAAUACCAAUCCAAGCCAGGUCUUUUCUUCUUCUCUCUUUUCUCUUUCUCCUUCAAUUCUCUCUUCUCUGUUCUAGGUUUCUUCCAAAUUUAUUGUUUGUCAUUUGUUUUUCCCUGUGAUUUCCAUGUUUGAUGUUUUUUCAAGUAUCUGAUCAUCUUUGACUCCUUGCUUUUAUAUAAGUGGGUCUGUUAAAAGUAGAUUAGACUCUCCUUAUGCUUGGGUGGGAUUUAUUGAUUCUGAGCUUCACUGAAAUAUUCUCAUUUGCGGGACAAUCCCCUAUCUCAGUUUCGUUAAGUCUUUUAUUCUUAGGAUGAUGAGAUACUAUCAUGCAAAAUUAUUUUAUUCUCCUACCUGAAUUAUUUAGCCUUUGCUUCUAGCAUUCUAUGUCAUUUGAGCAAUGACGUAGAGUCAGCAUAUUCACUACGUAAAUUUCCAUUUUAUCCCCAUGUUGAGUAUUUAACUUGUACUUUCCAUUCUUCCCUCUGAACUCCACUAUAGAGACCUUCUGUUUAUGCUCUUUAGAUAAUAAAUCUCCAAAACUGAGAGAAUAAGAGGGGAAGUCAUUCAGGUUUCUGAGUAGAGAGAGAAAAUGAGUCCAAAUGCUUUGCAAACAGACCUUGAAAUAAUCCUCCUAUUAUUUUCCAUACCUGUGUUCAUUUAUGCCUUUAAAAAGUGCUAACCUGUACCAAUUCCCAGGCCUUUUGGGGUGUCUAUGAGGUAAACAAUUUGACUUUACCCAUUAUUAAGUUAGGAUUUAACUUUCCUGCACACGCUAAUUCCAUCGCGCUCGUUAUCUUCUUUCUGAUUUCCAAUUUUUUUUCUAUUCUCUCUUCUUAUACAGGACUGUCUUUGUCAAAAUAAGCAUCCAAAAAAUCCUUUUCUCUCACUUUUGUGUGGUUUCUUGAGGGAACUGACAUAAACGUGUCCGUUCAAAUGUGUCUGUCAAACCACCAUUUUAAACCAAAAGUCUCAAUCUGACUUUUCUUCGGAAAGAAUUCCCACAACAUUGGCAAACACAUCAGCGUUUUAAGCUCAGAGAAAUGGUGGGACUACAGUCAUGCAUUUCCCACAGUGUCAAGUUAUGACAUCAGAAAAUAUGAUCAAUUCAAAGAUGCUCUUGUCUGUUAUCCUGUAAUAUUUCCCAGAAGCCUUAGUUAAUAUAGAGUUCAUGGAUCUUUUCAUACCAGAAAGUGUAAUCUCAGAGGGGAGAUGCUUGAGUUACAGGAAUAGUGAUUAAAUCCUGUGCCAUACACUAUCACUAUCUUGAAAAUUGAAAUUAUGAGGCACCAGCUGUUGGCUCUAUUUCUCAUAAAUGCAAAAGUGCACAUUAAUGUCCCUGGAAUAUAAAAUGCUACAUGAUGCAGGGCAGAAAUGUCAGUGAAUAUAUAUGCAUGAUUUUUAAUCUUUUUCAUUCAGUGCAGACACUUCCUCUGAAGUACAUUUGACAUUAUUUCUUAAAUAACUUCAUGUUGUGGUCAGUAUAAAUGCUUUGAAGUUGAACGUUCUAGAUAGAUUUUAAAUAUUUUGUUAUUAUAAUAGGAUUUCUUACCACAGGACUAAAAAGUGAAACUGGGGUCUAGCUGUGUGAUCUUUACAAUUCUGCUCAAUCCCAGCAAAUAGCUAUUAUUUCUAUAGAAAAAUAUUCUCAGAAUUUUGUUUCAGCAUUUAAAACAACAUCUGUUUGAACUUUUUAAAUUUUCAUUUUAAAUUGAUUCUUCUGACUUCGUGAAAACAACAAACCACAUCUGUCCAAUCUUCAGUCUCCAGGAGUCAAAUCUUCAAAUUAUACUUUUUUCCACCUUUAUUAAUAUUAUCCUGAAGGUACAUAUGAGGUGUUCUGAAUCAAGACACAUUAUCGUUGUUUACAAGGGAUGUGAAGGACCUCUUCAAGGAGAACUACAGACCACUGCUCAAUGAAAUAAAAGAGGACACAAACAAAUGGAAGAACAUUC
Molecule: long non-coding RNA, 2588 nt
Filed under: Homo sapiens (human)
Lineage: Eukaryota; Metazoa; Chordata; Mammalia; Primates; Hominidae
Description: HSALNT0163074
Source: RNAcentral